CCUUUCACAGUAACAAGUUGUCCACAGACUCGGCGCAGAUGGAUAGAAAAAUCCUAAUCUCAUCUACGGAAACAAAGAGAAGGGACAAUCAUUGCAAAGUCGGCACGUGCUCCAAAAACUAAGCAUGCUGGUUAAACGCUUUCUGUAACACUUAGCUGAUGGAAAGCGUUCUUGAGAAAUUAAGGCACUGUAAAAUGAGAGGAAAAAAGCAAAACUGAAAGGCAGAGUCCCCAAGAGCAACUCCAGGAGGAGUCUGAGAAAGCACCGAGUCAGACCUCUACUUCCAUAUUUCUGAAAAUCCUAAAAAAAAAAUCCUCGCAUUCUCUCUCCUUGUGGCAGCAGCUACAUGAGGACUAUGAGAAAACAGGUUUACAUACACACAAGAAGAAGACAUGCUUCCAACAAAUCUCUAUGAACUGGGACACAAGUCCUGAGGAGUGUCAUGCUGGUAGAAACUGUGAGGUAGAGAGCACUGGAGGGUGAAUUCUUAUCUUUAUACAAAAAGACUACAGAUCCUGCAGAGAGAAUGUGAAGUUUCAAAUUUUAUCCGCUCAAAGACAAGCCAAUUAUACAGCAUCAUCUGAAUGAUUUAUCUUCCUCAUCUGGUAUGCCCCACUAUGUGACUACAGAGUUCAGCUGGCUUGAAGCAUCAGUGUGACAGUAGUGCAACUGCCCAGUCUUCACAGCAGUGUUCAGGACUGACCAGCUGGUAGCUGAUUUCCUGCUACAAGAUCUUGUCUGAAAGCUGCACUCUGGGAGAGUGUGAAGGCUGAAGGUGGAAAACAAACUUAAAGAUGCUUUGUCCCAUUUGCACACAUUUAAAGUGACACUGGAACUGGAGAGCAUCUAGGAGUGGCCACGGUAUUAUAAUUCAGCAACAACAGGCCUUGGACAAUCUCAAGGGUCAUCAGGACCAGCAUGUUUCCUACAGUGAAAGAAGCACCAUGCACUGAGACCACACUGGCUCUGCAGGCCCUAUGAACGGGGGAAUCCAUCAGCAAGUGCCAUACUAAUGGAGGACCUUGGUUGGUGUGGCAGAAAUACAGCCUGAACCAGUGAUUGAGCACCUGGUGGGAGGGCAGGGCCAACCCUGGGGAGCUGAGUCAUAUGCAGUGCACCUGAAUGACAGGAAGGGAUGAAGCCAGGAUCCACCCCUUCCAUCAUUUAAGCAUUGGCAGAGGCAAUGAAGGUAUUUCAUUUGAGAUCUCUGCCUACCUGAGGCCCUCCAAAGGACAGAAAGCACUUGCGAUCCCUGAUGUGCACAGAGGCCCAGAAAUACCAGUUUCUGCCACAUUUUAUUGCCCCUGCCUAACAAUCCUUGGCACUAGAGAGGAUUAACAACAGGAUGAUGGUUAUAAUCAUACCAGGCCUGCCAAGCAUUAGCUUGUGGCAGUGCCAUUAAAGGCCCAAGAAUUUCAGCUGGAACUACAGGUAUUUCUCUUGUUACAAAAACAGCACUGGGGAGCCCCCAGGCAACAGGAGUAAUACAAGAGGCUGAUAAUGCAAACAAACCCCAUAUUUGAUCUCAGAAAUGAUGUUUCAGUCCUGAAGCUCUUCAACACAGGUAUCUGUUACAUCUGUUACAUACUGAUACAUACUGUUAUCUGUAACACAUUUCUGUGCACUCCACCUCCAGGGCUGACAUACUACGAGAUGCUUCUGAGUAUUUUAUUUUAUUUUUUUUCUUAAACAUGGACUACUUGGAAAAUUAAAAGGAAAACAUACCAUUGUGAGAUUUGAUCUAUUUCCUCUCUCAUAUGGAAAAAGGUUAGUUAUAAGUAACACAAAGUGAUGGAUCUGUGGGAGAGCAAAAUUAGCUAUGACAUGGUUUAAAGCACUUUAAUAAAUUUAUUAAAAGUCAAGAUGUGCUUCAAAAUAAAUCUCAGUGCACUUUCAAAAAAUUGCAUGGCUUAAAAAAGAUGCACUCAAGGAAUGA
Lagopus leucura (white-tailed ptarmigan) is the source of this 1936-nucleotide long non-coding RNA. RefSeq lists it as uncharacterized. Lineage: Eukaryota; Metazoa; Chordata; Aves; Galliformes; Phasianidae. The record is from RefSeq and is a predicted model, not a curated record. The transcript has 8 exons.